This 204-nucleotide long non-coding RNA is filed under the name Physcomitrium patens. Its description in RNAcentral is "long non-coding RNA (PPAT_LNC002374)". The record is from RNAcentral. Lineage: Eukaryota; Viridiplantae; Streptophyta; Bryopsida; Funariales; Funariaceae.
AUUAUAUGUGUUGUCUUCAAAUAUCUAUAACUCCUUUAUCUAGACUUGAAAUUCAUCAAAAAUUAUAUGUAAAGUGUAGCUAAGAAAGUUCCCUCUUUAAUUCUAGUCACCGAUCUUUCAUUGCUCUUUGUACGCACAUGUUAUGCUUCAAAGAGUGACAGUAGGUACAAAUUUGACACCUUAACUUUGAACACUUGUAUCUCC